GCGUGCGUGCGAGCGAGCGCCGCGGGGGCGUCCCGGGGGAGGGCGAGGGCGUGCGCCGCCGAUCCGAUCCGCUUCGCCGCCCUAAGUUCCGAGGCCGUUCGAGGUAGGUCUCCGUCCGACUUCUACCUCAGCGCCCUCUCCGCCGCAUCCAGGGACUCCGCCGCCGCCGCCAACCCCGCCUCCGAUCCCAGCCUCUUCGAAUCCGCUUACAUUCAACAGUUGAAGUCAAGUAGGAUUAGGCUAAGCCAGCUUGCACAGCAAGUUCACGUGGCAAGAGUACAGAUGCCUUUUGAUCUGUUCUGUGAUAUAUCUCCCACGAGUAAGAAUUGGAAGAUCUGUGCAACAAUAGCAAGGAAUGAAUCUUGUCAGAGGAACAUCGCGUUUCAAGUCAAUAGCAUUGAAACUUCUUUGGCAGACAAGGCACUAUUCCACAGAGAAAGUGAGUGUCCUGAUCAUACUUCGACACCGCCUGCUUCUUCUAAUACCCCUGUGGGUGAUAUGGAGAAAGCCCAUGCUGAUAGCAGGAAACGACGCCCCAUUAUGCGCCUUCCUCUAGGUGCAUCGAAGAAGCUAACUUUUGAGGUGGGCGCGUCCGAAGGAAAGGAUAUAGAUACAGCUGUUGUUUCAGAAAGGCAAUGGACGCGUUUGAAUCAAGUCCUUAGUUAUGUGCUCUGCUCUUGUUCUGUGAUUCUUGUUCACGCGAAGGUCACUGACUUUACGCGCAGACCAGCUGCAAUCGCACAAGGAUAUCAGCUGGAGGAUGGCCAGAGACUCAAAUUAGUAACAACCCAUAACCUAAUGGUCUACAUUGAACUAAAGAGAGCAUCUGGCAAAAUAUACAUCACUACAGGAUGGCCCCAGUUCAUAGAAGCCACUGGUUUGCAGCUUAAAGAAUAUGUGGUUUUCAAAGUCUUAUCACGCUCCAAGAUGCAUGCAACACCAAACGCACUAUCAAUGAAAUGUGCUUCUGCACCGGGGAGGGACAUCAAUCUAUCAACUGAACUCAAAGACUACUUCAAAGAUAUUGCGCAAUUUCUGCACCCCUCAAACGAAUUCUAUGUCACAACCAUAAAUCCAACUUUCAUGAAGCAGGAUAAGCACUUUUCAAAGCAAUUCUCUAUGACAUACAUUGCACUAAUCGUGCGGAAGAAGACAUCGCAGAUCGAAGUACGGAUUCCAGGGCACUCCUCAACCACCAUGGUUCUUCACCACUCCACAGAAAAGCGCUUUAACCUGAAAUCAGGAUGGACCCAUUUUCCAACAAGCAACGGCAUACAAGUUGGAACAAUCUGCAUCUUUCACUUCCACCAGACUAAUCAGCUGCAAGCAACAAUAGAUGUGCUGUGAGCAAGAUGCUCAUGCAACACAAGCUGUUAUCCUUUUAAUAUCGUAGGCUAUAUUUUCACUCUGCUACUUCUAUAGCUGUUAGUAUCAUUCUUUGUAUGCUUUGCAUGGGUACUCAAUUUCCAUGUAAAAAUCACGCCCAAACUAUUAUGCCAGCGUGCUGUUACAGAACAGGAGCUGACGGUACCUUACGUACUGUCUUUGGUUGUUUUGCUUGUACUUAUAUGCAACCAAAGACAAUUCACCCUGUCCUGUAUGAACAACCAUGCUAUCAUAUUCUGUUUCACCUUU
RNAcentral lists this long non-coding RNA (1635 nucleotides) under Oryza sativa tropical japonica subgroup. Its description in RNAcentral is "lncRNA OsCMeo_02g0015020". The record is from RNAcentral. Lineage: Eukaryota; Viridiplantae; Streptophyta; Magnoliopsida; Poales; Poaceae.